Molecule: ribosomal RNA, 253 nt
Filed under: uncultured bacterium
Lineage: Bacteria
Description: partial 16S ribosomal RNA
Rfam family: Bacterial small subunit ribosomal RNA
Source: RNAcentral
UACGAAGGGGGCAAGCGUUGUUCGGAAUUACUGGGCGUAAAGGGCGCGUAGGCGGCCGACCAAGUCGGGUGUGAAAUCCCUCGGCUCAACCGAGGAACUGCACUCGAUACUGGUUGGCUCGAGUCCGGGAGGGGAUGGUGGAAUUCCCAGUGUAGCGGUGAAAUGCGUAGAUAUUGGGAAGAACACCGGUGGCGAAGGCGACCAUCUGGACCGGAACUGACGCUGAGGCGCGAAAGCCAGGGGAGCGAAUGGG